RNAcentral lists this unclassified non-coding RNA (687 nucleotides) under Hevea brasiliensis (rubber tree). Lineage: Eukaryota; Viridiplantae; Streptophyta; Magnoliopsida; Malpighiales; Euphorbiaceae. The record is from RNAcentral.
AUUUGGACAUUUAUCUUUGUUCUGCUUUAUUUGCUGUCUUAAUAUCAUUCUUCAUUUUAUUUAAAAAUUUCUCCUCAGAAGCUGUUGGAGAAACAGAAUCUGUUUAAGUCAUGUUGUUUGCUACUGAUUUUAGGGGAAACCCCUUAAAAUGUGAACUUGUGGUUUCCAUCUAAUGGUAUUAAUCCUUUCUCAGUAAUACACGCCAUUAUAGUUUUGCUGCUGUCCUGGCCUUUAAUUUAGAAACAGUUUGACUUGCACUUUCUUUCUGGUGACAUUAUUGUUUAGGCUGCAUUGUCAUGUUAGCUUGCAAAAUUCUUUUGAUGCAAUGGUAUGUUAGGCCCGUCUCUGGGCUGAGCAACAAGUUCAAUUAAUUAGUUGAUCGAAAUAUGAUCAAGUUUUGUGUUCUUUAGUUUACUUAUUUUGCUUGCCCUUUAGAAACUUUUUAUCAGACGACAAAUCUUAAUGCAAUUGUAGGGUUAUGAAGCCUUUUGAGUUUUCUUGUUAUGAUUUGGAUGAUAUGGCUCUGUUUUUUCUUCAGUACUUCUGAAUAUUUGAACUCAAAGUAGAUUUGUGGCUUGCAUUAGAUGAGAGUUUAAUUGAUCAUCCAUUUGCACCUUGAUCUCAUUACUAGUGGAUGAAUUGCUUGAAUGGGUGGCUACAAUUUAUAUCCUUAAUUUUCUGGUUUCA